AUUAAUGUGUGAGUUGAAGGGGG
RNAcentral lists this non-coding RNA (23 nucleotides) under Cricetulus griseus (Chinese hamster). The record is from RNAcentral. Lineage: Eukaryota; Metazoa; Chordata; Mammalia; Rodentia; Cricetidae.